AUUGAACGCUGGCGGAAUGCUUUACACAUGCAAGUCGAACGGCAGCACGGGGGCAACCCUGGUGGCGAGUGGCGAACGGGUGAGUAAUACAUCGGAACGUGCCCAGUCGUGGGGGAUAACGUAGCGAAAGUUACGCUAAUACCGCAUACGAUCUACGGAUGAAAGCGGGGGACCGUAAGGCCUCGCGCGAUUGGAGCGGCCGAUGUCAGAUUAGGUAGUUGGUGAGGUAAAGGCUCACCAAGCCGACGAUCUGUAGCUGGUCUGAGAGGACGACCAGCCACACUGGGACUGAGACACGGCCCAGACUCCUACGGGAGGCAGCAGUGGGGAAUUUUGGACAAUGGGCGCAAGCCUGAUCCAGCCAUUCCGCGUGCAGGACGAAGGCCUUCGGGUUGUAAACUGCUUUUGUACGGAACGAAAAGGCUCUGGUUAAUACCUGGGGCUCAUGACGGUACCGUAAGAAUAAGCACCGGCUAACUACGUGCCAGCCGCCGCCGUAA
Molecule: ribosomal RNA, 500 nt
Filed under: uncultured bacterium
Lineage: Bacteria
Description: partial 16S ribosomal RNA
Rfam family: Bacterial small subunit ribosomal RNA
Source: RNAcentral